Molecule: ribosomal RNA, 253 nt
Filed under: uncultured bacterium
Lineage: Bacteria
Description: partial 16S ribosomal RNA
Rfam family: Bacterial small subunit ribosomal RNA
Source: RNAcentral
UACGUAGGGUGCGAGCGUUAAUCGGAAUUACUGGGCGUAAAGCGUGCGCAGGCGGUUUUGUAAGUCAGAUGUGAAAUCCCCGGGCUUAACCUGGGAAUGGCAUUUGGGACUGCAAGGCUGGAGUUUGGCAGAGGAGACUGGAAUUCCUGGUGUAGCAGUGAAAUGCGUAGAUAUCAGGAGGAAUACCGAUGGCGAAGGCAGGUCUCUGGGCUGACACUGACGCUCAUGCACGAAAGCGUGGGGAGCAAACAGG